GUUGAACGCUGGCGGCAUGCUUUACACAUGCCAGUCGAACGGCAGCGCGUGCUUCGGCCUGGCGGCGCGUGGCGCGCGUGUGUGUCAUGCAUCCGAACGUGCCCAGUCGGGGGGGAUAGCCUGGCAAAAGCCGGUUUAAUACCGAAUAUGUACUGAGGGGGAACGCGGGGGACCGAAAGCCCUCGCGGUUUUAGAGCGGCCGAUGCCGGAUUAGCUAGUUGGUGGGGUAAAGGCUUACCAAGGCGACGAUCCGUAGCUGGUCUGAGAGGACGACCAGCCACACUGGGACUGAGCCACGGCCCAGACCACUACGGGAGGCAGCAGUGGGGAAUGUUGGACAAUGGGGGCAAUCCUGAUCCAGCCAUGCCGCGUGGGGGAAGAAGGCCUUCGGGUUGUAAAUCGCUUCUGUUCGGGAAGAAGGACACUGGGCUAAUACCCCGGGGAGAUGACGGUACCGUAAGAAUAAGCACCGGCUAACUACGUG
This 484-nucleotide ribosomal RNA is filed under the name uncultured bacterium. RNAcentral describes it as "partial 16S ribosomal RNA". It matches the Rfam family "Bacterial small subunit ribosomal RNA", at positions 28 to 507 of the family's 1533-position model. The record is from RNAcentral.